GACGAACCGUGCGAACGUUAUUCGGAAUCACUGGGCUUAAAGGACGCGUAGGCGGGUCCGUAAGUCAGGGGUGAAAUCCCACGGCCCAACCGUGGAAGUGCCUCUGAUACUGCGGGCCUCGAGGGGGGUAGGGGCGUGCGGAACUCAGGGUGGAGCGGUGAAAUGCGUAGAUAUCGAGAGGAACACCAGUGGCGAAGGCGAGUCCCUGGACGACUCCUGACACUGAGGCACGAAAGCUAGGGGAGCAAACAGG
Molecule: ribosomal RNA, 253 nt
Filed under: uncultured bacterium
Lineage: Bacteria
Description: partial 16S ribosomal RNA
Rfam family: Bacterial small subunit ribosomal RNA
Source: RNAcentral